The sequence is a transfer RNA, 74 nucleotides long. It matches the Rfam family "tRNA". Rfam says of the family: Transfer RNA (tRNA) molecules are approximately 80 nucleotides in length. Their secondary structure includes four short double-helical elements and three loops (D, anti-codon, and T loops). The record is from Rfam.
GCCUCGAUAGCUUAGCCCGGUAUAGCGCGUCCUUGGUAAGGACGAGGUCGCGGGUUCGAAUCCCGUCCGAGGCU